GAGGUGCUGAGGGGAAGGGGGCGGCCCUGAGGGGAAGGGGCUGGGUUAGGGUCACAGGGCGGCGUAGCAGCGCCUAUAGGGGGGUUUUGGGAGGGUCUCUGCUCGCCUGGCAGGGUUUGGGAGGGUGGAAAGUGGGCACUGAGGUGACUCUGGGGGAGGUCUGGCAGGAAGGUGUUAAAAAGGGGGUUGGAAAAAAGCAUGCAGGAAUGGCUUUAAACAUGGACAUCAGGGGGAUACUGACAGGGUAAAGGGGAAUGGCUUUAAACUGAAGGAGAGGAGGUUUGGAUUAGAUAUUAGGAAGGAAUUCUUCACUCUGAGGGCAGUGAGGCACUGGCGCAGGCUGCCCAGAGGAGCUGGGCUGCCCCAUCCCUGGGGGUGUUCGGGGCCAGGCUGGAUGGGGCUGGGGGCAGCCUGGGCUGGUGGGUGGCAUCCUGCCCGUGUCAGAGGGGUUGGAUCUGGGUGGUCUUUGAGGCCCCUUCCAACCCAAACCGUUCUGUGCUUCUAUAAAAGUGAGCACCGCCUGCUUCCCCUGAGACCGCUCAGCGCUUUCCGCGUUGCACCUUCUCCCUGCCUGCUUUCUCGUUACAGCCCGGUGGUUUCAGUCAGGCAGCUGCCUUUCCCAUCAAGAUUUUGGUAUUUGUCGUGGCUAACUUCAAGAUUUUCCAAUAGGGGAUGUGUAAGACCAAGGCCUGGGCCACGUGAGCAUGAAUCACUCGGUUACCGCGGAAACGAUCGACACUAUUUGGUUUUUACUUCUUCGGCCCCAGUGACCGGAUCACACGCCGACCUCCCCGGGCUCCGGCACACCCAAAGUCUGGGGACGAUGCGAGCCUGGGCGCUGCGCGUGAAUCACCGUGACUGCGAGCCUUCUGCUGCAAGGGGAAAGCACGAACUGGGUGUGAGCUUCCCCCCCCCCGCUCCUUUUCCAUUUCCUUUUGUCUGAGGGAGAAGGAGGGCUGGAAAGGUCCCAUCCGUGCGAAGAAAUGAGCAGCUUAUCCCACUUCCAAGUGCAAAAAGAAACUGAGAAUCACGGCUUUACGGGUUAAAACAGCGUCGCUGUGAGUGUGGAUGAGUUCCACUGCGAGAGAAAUGGCAGAAGGGGGUUUAGCUUAACUCCCUCCGCGACGCCUUUUCUCCAGGGGAAAGAUUUACAGGUGUGAGGGAGGUUUUGCAUUUUACCCAGGUAGCUGCGACAAAUCCAGGCUUUUAAAAAAUGAAAUUGUGCCCUAACAGCUCUGUGAGAACGACCACAUGGGGUCAGCCCAGCUCUCCCCAGCGGGGCUCGGCGCAGAUGGCCGGGACCCGCGCAGGAACAGAGAUUUUGGACAAGCCUUCUCCAGACACAUCCUCCCAGUUUCCGGCAAUCAGCAGCGCGGGGACAUCCUGACCCAGGAGGUUCAUCCGGCCCCUGGUAUUUAAUAGCCGAACGCCGCUCUCCGUGCGUGUGCCUCAGCUCCUGACCUCCAGAGCUCCCAGAGUGCCGCAGCGUAACGGCGCUGAAUGGGGAAAAAAGCCUUCAGUUUGUUUAAAACUCCUCUUUUAUUAGUCCCGGAGACCGGCCCUGUCCUAUUUACAGCCACAGGUGCUGACUUCAGCUUGGCUUGAGGACAGAAACCUUUUUCACGUGCGGAUUUCUGUAGCGGCAUGGGCCUGAACCAGAGCAGGGAAACGAUCUGGAUGGAAAAACCUCCCCGAGGGAAGGGGAAUUUGCCAGGCUGCUGGUGGAAGGGGGAACAGACCCUCUUCAGCUGGGUUUACAAGCAGUGAGUGAAGAAACCCCCCCCCCGAUGGAAGCAGUGGGGUUUUAACCCAACCUCAGCGCCUCCAAAAGCCUCUUCCAUUCCAGCAAUGUUUUAGGGAAAGGCUGCUGGCACUCGGGGAUUAACCUCUCGCAAAGGUUUGCUCUUCACACCCUCCCAGGGCCCGUAACCCCCCCCCGGCAGACCCUGUGCCCACCCCCCAGGCAGGGCAGCUGGUUUUCAAUGCCCCCCUCUCCCUAUGCAGCGAGCUUGAAGCCCUUUCUCUGAUUUUAGCCACAUCGGAAGGAGGCGGUGAUGCUCUUAAAGGCUUUCUGAAGAAUAAGUGAGUGUCUGGGGAAGGGCUCAGCUGCUCUGUGAACACCCCGGAGGGUCCCCGCACAAAACAGGCCUCGUUUCUUAGCACGGUGAUGGGAAGUGGCCGCGGAGAAGCUCCCACUCCUAGAGACAUCUGUAAGACCCACGGUGGCUUUCCAAAGGUCAAGUGAUUCAGGUCAGCGAGGAUUCACAGCAGCCAGCAGAUAAAUCUCCACGGGACCGCCGAAGCCAGGGUUUGGUUGCAAAAAGCUGAAAUAAAGCGUUUCCACUCGUGUCGCA
RNAcentral lists this long non-coding RNA (2354 nucleotides) under Anser brachyrhynchus (Pink-footed goose). RNAcentral's name for it is "lncRNA (ENSABRG00000010600.1)". Lineage: Eukaryota; Metazoa; Chordata; Aves; Anseriformes; Anatidae. The record is from RNAcentral.